GACUGAGCGGCGGACGGGUGAGUAACGCGUGGGUAACCUGCCUCAUACAGGGGGAUAACAGUUAGAAAUGGCUGCUAAUACCGCAUAAGACCACAGCACCGCAUGGUGCAGGGGUAAAAACUCCGGUGGUAUGAGAUGGACCCGCGUCUGAUUAGCUGGUUGGUGGGGUAACGGCCUACCAAGGCGACGAUCAGUAGCCGGCCUGAGAGGGUGACCGGCCACAUUGGGACUGAGACACGGCCCAAACUCCUACGGGAGGCAGCAGUGGGGAAUAUUGCACAAUGGGGGAAACCCUGAUGCAGCGACGCCGCGUGAGCGAAGAAGUAUUUCGGUAUGUAAAGCUCUAUCAGCAGGGAAGAAAAUGACGGUACCUGACUAAGAAGCCCCGGCUAACUACGUGCCAGCAGCCGCGGUAAUACGUAGGGAGCAAGCGUUGUCCGGAUUUACUGGGUGUAAAGGGUGCGUAGGCGGUUUGGUAAGUCAGAAGUGAAAUCCAUGGGCUUAACCCAUGAACUGCUUUUGAAACUAUCGAACUUGAGUGAAGUAGAGGUAGGCGGAAUUCCCGGUGUAGCGGUGAAAUGCGUAGAGAUCGGGAGGACACCAGUGGCG
RNAcentral lists this ribosomal RNA (609 nucleotides) under uncultured Lachnospiraceae bacterium. RNAcentral's name for it is "bacterial SSU rRNA". It matches the Rfam family "Bacterial small subunit ribosomal RNA", at positions 89 to 717 of the family's 1533-position model. The record is from RNAcentral. Lineage: Bacteria; Bacillati; Bacillota; Clostridia; Lachnospirales; Lachnospiraceae.